RNAcentral lists this ribosomal RNA (494 nucleotides) under uncultured bacterium. RNAcentral's name for it is "bacterial SSU rRNA". It matches the Rfam family "Bacterial small subunit ribosomal RNA", at positions 899 to 1397 of the family's 1533-position model. The record is from RNAcentral.
ACUCAAAGGAAUUGACGGGGACCCGCACAAGCAGCGGAGCAUGUGGUUUAAUUCGAAGCAACGCGAAGAACCUUACCAGGGCUUGACAUCCCCCUGACAGCUUUUUAACAGAAGCCUCCUUCGGGCAGGGGAGACAGGUGGUGCAUGGUUGUCGUCAGCUCGUGUCGUGAGAUGUUGGGUUAAGUCCCGCAACGAGCGCAACCCUUGUCAUUAGUUGCCAUCAUUUAGUUGGGCACUCUAAUGAGACUGCCGGGGAUAACUCGGAGGAAGGUGGGGAUGACGUCAAAUCAUCAUGCCCCUUAUGUUCUGGGCUACACACGUGCUACAAUGGCCGGUACAGAGAGACGCAAAGCCGCGAGGCGGAGCAAAUCUCCAAAACCGGUCCCAGUUCGGAUUGCAGGCUGCAACUCGCCUGCAUGAAGUCGGAGUUGCUAGUAAUCGCGGAUCAGAAUGCCGCGGUGAAUGCGUUCCCGGGUCUUGCACACACCGCCCGU